ACUUUUUGUUACCGUUUUGCUAUUUUGAAAACGGAGAGAAGAGCACACUAUGCUAAAAAAAACUGGCAGUUGAGGGAAAAAUGAAAAAAUGGAAAUCAGAAGAGACGUGACUAUGUAGAUAUUUGGAGCUUUUUGACGCCAAAAAAUGCGAUUAUACUCUUAACU
Molecule: long non-coding RNA, 165 nt
Organism: Zophobas morio
Lineage: Eukaryota; Metazoa; Arthropoda; Insecta; Coleoptera; Tenebrionidae
Exons: 3
Source: RefSeq, a predicted model, not a curated record